GAUGAACGCUAGCUACAGGCUUAACACAUGCAAGUCGCGGGGCAGCAUGGGGUUUGCUUGCAAUCCCCGAUGGCGAACGGCGCACGGGUGAGUAACGCGUCUCCAACUUGCCUUUCACCACGGUAUAACCCGGGGGGCGUAGGACUGAUACCGUAUUUUGCCCAUUGGCGGGAUCUGGUAAGGUCGCGCGGCUUGGGGUUGAGGGGUGGGGAUGCGUCUGAUUAGUCAGGGGGCGGGCUAACGGCGCACCGGGGCUACGAUCGGUAGGGGUUCUGAGAGGAAGGGCCCUCACAGGGUAACUGAGACACUGUCCAGACUCCUACGGGAGGCAGCAGUGAGGAAUAUUGGACAAUGGGCUAAAGCCUGAACCGGCCAAGUAGCGUGCAGGAUGACGGCCCUAUGGAUUGUAAACUGCGUGUAUGCGGGGAUAAAGUGGCCCACGGGUGGGCUUUUGCAGGUAACGCAUAAAUAAGGACCGGCUAAUUCCGUG
RNAcentral lists this ribosomal RNA (490 nucleotides) under uncultured bacterium. RNAcentral describes it as "partial 16S ribosomal RNA". It matches the Rfam family "Bacterial small subunit ribosomal RNA", at positions 28 to 507 of the family's 1533-position model. The record is from RNAcentral.